Molecule: ribosomal RNA, 239 nt
Filed under: uncultured bacterium
Lineage: Bacteria
Description: partial 16S ribosomal RNA
Rfam family: Bacterial small subunit ribosomal RNA
Source: RNAcentral
CCGGCACGGGUGAGUAACACGUAUCCAACCUGCCGUCUACUCUUGGCCAGCCUUCUGAAAGGAAGAUUAAUCCAGGAUGGCAUCAUGAGUUCACAUGUCCGCAUGAUUAAAGGUUAUUUCCGGUAGACGAUGGGGAUGCGUUCCAUUAGAUAGUAGGCGGGGUAACGGCCCACCUAGUCAACGAUGGAUAGGGGUUCUGAGAGGAAGGUCCCCCACAUUGGAACUGAGACACGGUCCAA